Molecule: ribosomal RNA, 378 nt
Filed under: Triticum aestivum (bread wheat)
Lineage: Eukaryota; Viridiplantae; Streptophyta; Magnoliopsida; Poales; Poaceae
Description: partial small subunit ribosomal RNA
Source: RNAcentral
AUGCACAUGACAAGUAUGAGUAUCAACAAUCUAAGCUUGAGAAACAACAACCUCUCAGGUGAAUUUCCUUCAUUUCUCCAACACUGCCCGCAACUCUCCUUUCUUGAUCUUGCACACAACCAUUUCUUUGGGACUAUGCCAACAUGGAUUGGAGAUAAAUUGCCAUAUUUGGCUUUCUUACGACUACGAUCGAAUAAGUUUUAUGGUCGCAUUCCGGAGGAGCUUACACAGAUAGUUAAUCUUUCGUACAAUAACAUGACGGGGAGCAUACCUAAAUCUAUUGUUAACAUCAAAGGGAUGAUACUAGUGAAAGAUUACGAUGAUUCAUUUCAUCGUGCUUUCCGUUAUGGAGAGUCAAUUAAUUAUUGGUCCUGGUGA